AACGGUCUAUACCUGCGGUACCUGCGGAAGGAUCAUUACAGAGUUUACAACUCCCAAACCCACUGUGAACCUUACAGCGUCGUUGCCUCGGCGGACCGCCCCCGGCGCGGCCCCCCUCGGGGGGGCGCCCGGGACCACGGCGCCCGCCGGAGGACCCAAACUCUUGUAUUUGCAGGAUGCAUUGCUCUGAGUGAAAACAAGCAAAUGAAUCAAAACUUUUAACAACGGAUCUCUAGAUCG
RNAcentral lists this unclassified non-coding RNA (240 nucleotides) under soil metagenome. Its description in RNAcentral is "partial contains 5.8S ribosomal RNA, internal transcribed spacer 2, and large subunit ribosomal RNA". The record is from RNAcentral.